Molecule: transfer RNA, 54 nt
Filed under: Epitrimerus sabinae
Lineage: Eukaryota; Metazoa; Arthropoda; Arachnida; Trombidiformes; Eriophyidae
Description: tRNA-Val
Source: RNAcentral
AAAGGAUUAGCUUAAAAAGAGCACCUUCUUUACAAGGAGGGGGUUGAACCUUUA